Molecule: RNA transcript, 1768 nt
Organism: Hevea brasiliensis (rubber tree)
Lineage: Eukaryota; Viridiplantae; Streptophyta; Magnoliopsida; Malpighiales; Euphorbiaceae
Gene name: probable 3-deoxy-D-manno-octulosonic acid transferase, mitochondrial
Exons: 13
Source: RefSeq, a predicted model, not a curated record
CGCCACGGGGUGCGGGAGUGAAGAACACAGCGAGACAUGGAUGCUGCUGGAAACACAGGAAGGCUACUCUACAAAAUUUACAGGGCGCUUACCUACGGUUUAACACCGUUAGUGCACCUUCACCUACGGUGGCGCCGUCGCCGAGGCCUCGAGCACCCGACCCGUUGGCCUGAGAGAUUGGGCCGCCCCUCACUCCCUCGCCCCUCUGGUCCUCUUCUCUGGUUUCACGCUGUCUCCUUAGGUGAAGGAAUGGCGGCGAUCCCUGUCAUUAAACGGUUUGUUCAAUGCAGGCCUGAUUUAAACAUCUUGAUGACAACUACAACCUUGUCUGCUUUUGAAGUCAUAAAGAAUCAGCUUCCAAGUAGUGUUUUAUACCAGUUUUCCCCACUUGAUACCCCUACUGAUGUGGACACUUUCCUUGAUUAUUGGAAGCCAAAUGCAAUCAUGAUAUUGGAGAGUGAACUAUGGCCGAAUCUUAUCAUGGGUUCAUCAAGAAAGGGUAUUUCACUGGCAUUGUUGAAUGCUCGAGUGUCUAUGAAAUCCUUUAGGUUAUGGUCUCAACCAGUGCUUCUUCCGCUGAUUUCACUAAUGCUUUCUAAAUUUUCCCUGAUCAUCCCACUGAGUUCUAUGCAGGCAAUUCGCUUCCAGAUUUUGCAGGCCCCGCCUUUUAUCAUCAACUUUUCUGGUGAUUUGAAAUAUGCAAUAGAAUGUGAUGCUUCUAAUGGAGAGACAGGAAGCAUAGAAGAUCUGAAAGGACAGCUUGCCUCAAGACGCGUUUGGAUGGCUUCUUCCAUACAUCGGGGUGAAGAAAAAGUUAUGCUGGGAGUUCACAAAGCACUCAUACAAGUAUACCCCGAUCUAGUCACUAUAAUUGUACCUCGUAAUCCACAGCAUGGACUAGAGAUCGCUCAGGAAUUGCAGAAAGGAGGGCAAAAUGUAGCUUUGAGGUCUCAACAUCAAAGGAUUAUGCCAGGAACACAAAUUUACAUGGUCAACACAUUAGGUGAACUGAGAUGUUUGUACAGGUUAUCACCAGUAGCUGUAAUUGGAGGUUCCUUCUUCCCUGGUUUAGCUGGCCACAAUAUAUCAGAAGCCGCAGCCGCUGGCUGUGCAGUUUUGACUGGUCAUCAUGUUGGUCAUUUCUCACACAUGGUAAAGGAAAUGCAACGCUUAAAUCCCUUAUCAAUCAUUCAGGUAUCUGGUACCUUAGAGCUUGAAGAAGCUAUUAUGGAACUCCUUAAUGAUACCAAAGUACUAGAUGCACGGCGCAUGGCUGCAAAACAAGCAUUUUGUGCUCUGUCCCAUGGCAUUAUUGCUAAUGUUUGGAACCUGCUAAAUUUUCAUGUUCUGAGAGUAUCUUUGCAAGAAAGUUGAUGAAGACUGGCACACAGCAAAUCGAUUGUGAAAAUGAGGUUUGUCUUUGCCUCCUGCAUGAAAGCUGUUCAUGAAAGUAGCAUCAAAGUACUGCCAGCUCUGGAGCUCAAGCCCUUGAAGUAGCAUUGAAUCCUUCAACAAACAAGAGAACUUGGCUCGCAUUUGCUUCAUGCCUUCACCUCUUUGCAAAUGGAUUAUAUCUUAGAACAGAAACACAGCACACGGUGUAACCAUAGGACCAUUUUGUUAUGACCAUACUCUUCAUAUGCUGUCUAGCAGGUGCCUGAAAAUUGGUUGGCUCAAAUAACCUGCUCUAAUAACAAAACUUUUACCUGCUUCCCCCACCAUGACAACUAAAUGUCCAGAAGUAACAUCUCAGGGCAGUUUCUUCUUA